CUAUACAUGCAGUCGACGAGUUCUGAUUAUUGAAAGGUGCUUGCAUCUUGAUUUAAUUUUGAACGAGUGGCGGACGGGUGAGUAACACGUGGGUAACCUGCCCUUAAGUGGGGGAUAACAUUUGGAAACAGAUGCUAAUACCGCAUAAAUCCAAGAACCGCAUGGUUCUUGGCUGAAAGAUGGCGUAAGCUAUCGCUUUUGGAUGGACCCGCGGCGUAUUAGCUAGUUGGUGAGGUAACGGCUCACCAAGGCAAUGAUACGUAGCCGAACUGAGAGGUUGAUCGGCCACAUUGGGACUGAGACACGGCCCAAACUCCUACGGGAGGCAGCAGUAGGGAAUCUUCCACAAUGGACGCAAGUCUGAUGGAGCAACGCCGCGUGAGUGAAGAAGGCUUUCGGGUCGUAAAACUCUGUUGUUGGAGAAGAAUGGUCGGCAGAGUAACUGUUGUCGGCGUGACGGUAUCCAACCAGAAAGCCACGGCUAACUACGUGCCAGCAGCCGCGGUAAUACGUAGGUGGCAAGCGUUAUCCGGAUUUAUUGGGCGUAAAGCGAGCGCAGGCGGUUUUUUAAGUCUGAUGUGAAAGCCCUCGGCUUAACCGAGGAAGUGCAUCGGAAACUGGGAAACUUGAGUGCAGAAGAGGACAGUGGAACUCCAUGUGUAGCGGUGAAAUGCGUAGAUAUAUGGAAGAACACCAGUGGCGAAGGCGGCUGUCUGGUCUGUAACUGACGCUGAGGCUCGAAAGCAUGGGUAGCGAACAGGAUUAGAUACCCUGGUAGUCCAUGCCGUAAACGAUGAAUGCUAGGUGUUGGAGGGUUUCC
RNAcentral lists this ribosomal RNA (820 nucleotides) under Lacticaseibacillus rhamnosus. RNAcentral's name for it is "bacterial SSU rRNA". It matches the Rfam family "Bacterial small subunit ribosomal RNA", at positions 49 to 835 of the family's 1533-position model. Lineage: Bacteria; Bacillati; Bacillota; Bacilli; Lactobacillales; Lactobacillaceae. The record is from RNAcentral.